GGGGGCAAGCGUUGUUCGGAAUUACUGGGCGUAAAGGGCGCGUAGGUGGCCUUCUAAGUUGAACGUGAAAUCCCUGGGCUCAACCCAGGAACUGCGUCCAAGACUGGGAGGCUUGAAUCCGGGAGAGGGAUGCGGAAUUCCAGGUGUAGCGGUGAAAUGCGUAGAUAUCUGGAGGAACACCGGUGGCGAAGGCGGCAUCCUGGACCGGUAUUGACACUGAGGCGCGAAAGCCAGGGGAGCAAACGGG
Molecule: ribosomal RNA, 247 nt
Filed under: uncultured bacterium
Lineage: Bacteria
Description: partial 16S ribosomal RNA
Rfam family: Bacterial small subunit ribosomal RNA
Source: RNAcentral